UACGUAGGGGGCAAGCGUUAUCCGGAUUUAAUGGGUGUAAAGGGAGCGUAGGUGGUGCGUCAAGUCAGAUGUGAAAGCCCGGGGCUCAACCCCGGGACUGCAUUUGAAACUGUCGUGCUAGAGUGCAGGAGAGGUAAGUGGAAUUCCUAGUGUAGCGGUGAAAUGCGUAGAUAUUAGGAGGAACACCAGUGGCGAAGGCGGCUUACUGGACUGUAACUGACACUGAGGCUCGAAAGCGUGGGGAGCAAACAGG
Molecule: ribosomal RNA, 253 nt
Filed under: uncultured bacterium
Lineage: Bacteria
Description: partial 16S ribosomal RNA
Rfam family: Bacterial small subunit ribosomal RNA
Source: RNAcentral